AACGAACGCUGGCGGCGUGCUUAACACAUGCAAGUCGAACGAGAAAGCGGGCUUCGGUCCGCUAGUAAAGUGGCAGACGGGUGAGUAACACGUGGGUAACCUGCCCGGAGGUGGGGGACAACCCUCCGAAAGGAGGGCUAAUACCGCAUGAUAUCCCUGAGGCUUCGGCCUUGAGGAUCAAAGCUAGCCUCUACAUGUAAGCUAGCUCCACCGGAGGGG
This 219-nucleotide ribosomal RNA is filed under the name uncultured bacterium. RNAcentral describes it as "partial 16S ribosomal RNA". It matches the Rfam family "Bacterial small subunit ribosomal RNA", at positions 29 to 229 of the family's 1533-position model. The record is from RNAcentral.